Molecule: ribosomal RNA, 405 nt
Filed under: uncultured bacterium
Lineage: Bacteria
Description: partial 16S ribosomal RNA
Rfam family: Bacterial small subunit ribosomal RNA
Source: RNAcentral
GAUGAACGCUGGCGGCGUGCCUAACACAUGCAAGUCGAGCGAAGCGGGGACGGGUGAGUAACACGUGGAUAACCUUCUAUAAGACUGGGAUAAACUAGGGAAACCGGAGCUAAUCCGGCUACUCAUAGCUGGAUCCGCGCUGCAUUAGCUAGUUGGUAAGGUAACGUCUUACCAAGGCAACGAUGCAUAGCCGACCUGAGAGGGUGAGCGGCCACACGGGAACUGAGACACGGUCCAGACUCCUACGGGAGGCAGCAGUAGGGAAUCUUGCGCAAUGGGCGAAAGCCUGACGGAGCAACGCCGCGUGAGUGAUGAAGGUCUUCGGAUCGUAAAACUCUGUUAGUAGGGAAGCGGUACCUAAACAGAAAGCCACGGCUAACUACGUGCCAGCAGCCGCGGUAAUAC